RNAcentral lists this ribosomal RNA (427 nucleotides) under uncultured beta proteobacterium. RNAcentral's name for it is "bacterial SSU rRNA". It matches the Rfam family "Bacterial small subunit ribosomal RNA", at positions 355 to 774 of the family's 1533-position model. Lineage: Bacteria; Pseudomonadati; Pseudomonadota; Betaproteobacteria. The record is from RNAcentral.
UGGGGAAUUUUGGACAAUGGGCGAAAGCCUGAUCCAGCCAUGCCGCGUGAGUGAAGAAGGCCUUCGGGUUGUAAAGCUCUUUUAGUCGGAAAGAAAGAGUCGCAAUGAAUAAUUGUGAUUUAUGACGGUACCGACAGAAAAAGCACCGGCUAACUACGUGCCAGCAGCCGCGGUAAUACGUAGGGUGCGAGCGUUAAUCGGAAUUACUGGGCGUAAAGCGUGCGCAGGCGGUUAUGCAAGACAGAUGUGAAAUCCCCGGGCUCAACCUGGGAACUGCGUUUGAAACUACAAGGCUAGAGUGCAGCAGAGGGGAGUGGAAUUCCAUGUGUAGCAGUGAAAUGCGUAGAGAUGUGGAAGAACACCGAUGGCGAAGGCAGCUCCCUGGGUUGACACUGACGCUCAUGCACGAAAGCGUGGGGAGCAAACA